GUCUAUAGCCAUGCCACCCUGUACAAGCCCGAUCCCGUCUGAUCUCAGAAGCUAAGCAAGAUUGGGCCUGAUUAGUACUUGGAUGGGAGACUGCCUAGGAAGACCACGUGCUGUAAGUG
Molecule: ribosomal RNA, 119 nt
Filed under: Pteropus alecto (black flying fox)
Lineage: Eukaryota; Metazoa; Chordata; Mammalia; Chiroptera; Pteropodidae
Source: RNAcentral